CGGCAUCAUAGCUCAACUCAUCACCUAUCCUCUUGACACAGUAAAUACUCGGCAGCGAACAGAUAGAAAUUCGAAGAAGAUGAAGAAAACGCUUGGAACUAUUGAACAUAUGUGCCAGGUUGUAAAGCAGGAAGGGUGGGAUAGGCUAUAUGGAGGUUUAGCUCCGUCGCUAGUUGGUACCGCUGCAUCGCAGGGUGUUUAUUAUUAUUUCUACCAAAUAUUGAGGAAUAGAGCAGAGACCGAUGCACUUGUACGUAAGAAGAAUGGAAUUGGUGAUGGAUCAGUCGGGAUGUUCUCAUCACUUCUGGUCGCUGCUUUAUCGGGAUGUGUUAAUGUACUGCUGACCAAUCCGAUAUGGGUAGUUGUUACACGCAUGCAGACUCAUUCAAGAAAGGAUAAAGAUAACCACCCAAAA
RNAcentral lists this unclassified non-coding RNA (415 nucleotides) under Hevea brasiliensis (rubber tree). The record is from RNAcentral. Lineage: Eukaryota; Viridiplantae; Streptophyta; Magnoliopsida; Malpighiales; Euphorbiaceae.